Long non-coding RNA from Cygnus olor (mute swan), 5749 nucleotides. RefSeq lists it as uncharacterized. The record is from RefSeq and is a predicted model, not a curated record. The transcript is spliced from 3 exons. NCBI's taxonomy places the organism in Eukaryota, Metazoa, Chordata, Aves, Anseriformes, Anatidae.
CGGAAGCACUUGGGUGCCCCUUCCAGCUGUGUGCCCCCCACCGUCAGAGCGCGAGGUCUUGGUGCCCUCUGUCACGUACGCGGCGGUGACACAUCCCCUCCUGCCACCCGAGGCACCACGGUGCUCAGGAAACCUACAGGAGCAUCUGGGAGGGCAGCACCAGUGCUUUGGGCACACAGCAGUGGGGCUUUGUGACCUCAACUCCAUGGGGAGGGGGAGACAAACAGGCCGGUAGGACUAGGGGAGGAAACACCCCCACUGCCAGCUUCGGCCAGGAGAUGUUUAGAUGGGAACUGAAGGACGGGGACCCCACGCAGCAGUCCGAUGUCUAACAGAAGGAGCAUGAAGGCAGCUGAAACGCCAGCUUAUUAGAUUUACUCUCCCCAGCAACACCCUGGCAUUUACAAACCUGUCUCUGCAGCCGGCGGUCUAACUUCUGGUGCUAUUUGCAUUUGGGGCUCCUCUCCCCUCCCGCUCCCGCAGCGAGGCAGCAGGGUGGCCAGGGCGCUCUCGCCCUCCUGUUUGCCUUUCCAGAGAAGGGAGCCAAACCCAAAGUUUGCAGUGCUGUUUGCACUGGCUGGCAAAAGGAUGCUCUUAAAAUCAGAGCCGCGGAGCGAGGCUGCACCGCCAGCAAUGUCAGGCAGAGAUCACACCUUGGCUUGCGCCUGCGAUUUCGUACUGCACCAUCACUGCAGAAGCUCACACGUAAUGGAAAGGCACAGGACACCAGCAGGAUCCGAGUGGGGAGGGAAACCAUACAAACCUGGAGAUUGCUGCCCCCGUCCGUGCCGGGACCGCUUUAACGCAGGCAGCGUUAGUCUGUUUUGCUGGGCUCACCAGCCUUCCUGAGCAUGUCAGUCUGAAGCUACAGUGCCAGAGCUCCACGAGACAGACAAAUCUCUCAAAAACUCGCUGUGAUACGAAGGCUGUAUCUGAGGGCUGUGGUACAAUGCAUCUCAUUUAACAUUUCUGGGAGAUCACUAAUAUAUUUGCUAUGCUGCUCACAUUUUGGGCUGGGGCAGUAGCUUUUUCUCUUUAUUCUACACAGCACAGAUAGAACCAGCACAUUUCUCCCUACAGCUAAAGUAUUAGUGCUGCUGGUUUAUAUUAUAGUAAUGCCUAAAGAAACCAAGAGACAGAGAUCCCAGUGUGAUAGGCACUGUGCAAACCCUACAAGAGAUUACCAUCCGAAACCACAGAAACAGACAACAGAGCCUGAAGAUGCCGUGUGUGAGCAGAGGAGAGGUACAGACAGAUGCAACCUCCAGUUCGAGGCUCUUUAGCAUCACCGUGGCAGAAAUGAAAAGAAAAUCUAACUUUUAGAUGAUCCCCAUAGCCACCAGGCCAUCCUGCUGCCAUACACAGAUGCACCAAACACAGCACUCCUGAAGUUGCUGGAAAAACUAGGGACAUCACAUAGAUAUUCAACCAAACACAGGGAGCUUUGCAUGGAAACACUGCACACUAGAGCCAAUUUCAGGUGAAAGCGAUCAGAUGCAUGUGUACAUAAUAUCGAGCAGCAAAAACAGCACAACUUCUAUCACUUGGAGUGUUUUUUCCAGAUUUCCAACGGUGGGAAGUGACUUAGGUUUGCUCCAGGAACAGUCAGGGCUGGAAAAUGCUAUAUACAACAGACAGCAAAGCAGCAUCACAAUCUCACUAGUAUUUGAAGGAAAUGAAACUUUAAUGCUGGUAAGAAAGCAGGAACCGAAGAAGGCAAACCUCCUCCUCCUCCUGGAACCCCUUUAGCUCUGAAAAACGUAAAUUGCUGGUUUUCUCUGUCAACUGUUCUUCCCCCCACAAUAAAUUAGUCUUACCGAUCCGAAUUUUGUCCCUUCAGCUCUGCAGUGGGAGCCUGGAAAAUGGUGUUUCCAGCACAGGGAGAGAACUAAAUGAGACUUGCCUGUUUAGAAAACCAUUUCUAAUCUAGGGCCACUGAUGAGGAAGAACAAAGAGUGGCAUUUGAAAGGCGCUGUGCAGAAGGGACUCUGCCAUGCACAAGGCUCUUUGAACAGGAACUGAAAAUCCCCAAGCGACUGCCCAGGAGCAGCUCCAGAUGCUGCUUCUGCACUAACCUAACACAGGCAAGGAGGUAUUGCUUGUCAGAGUUAACAAGCAUCUUGCACCAACCUGCAAUGUAUCUCAUUUUUUUCCAGGAAGUGUGAAAAGCGUGCUCCGAGUUUGGAACUUUGGCCUCAAUGUCAGAAUCAGCCAAAUCCACUUAGGCUUAAGGUGACCUCAUAUAAACAUGAGACAUUUGGGGAACAGAACCAAUACAUGACCUGUAGACAAAUCCUCUGUUGGAAAAAAAACAGUAAACCACCACCCUGUCCCUGGCUCAUUCAGCAGACUCCUUGGUAGACUGUUCUGCUCAUCAGCACAUCAUGGCCAGUUCUCAGAGAGCAAAGGUGAUACACUACUGCUAGCUUCUCUGCAAAGCCCACUCUUUACCCCUGUUUUUCCCAAUACUUUAAAAUUUGGCAACUGUAGAGAUGCAGAAGAGAAAAUAACUUGAACUAGAGAGAACUGCUGGCAUUCACUGAUUCUUCCUUCAAGGAAUAACACUGAGCCAGUAAUUCAGAUUUGUCAGAAAAAUGUACACAGAGCUUCAAUUUAGAAGGAAGCAAUAAAUACCUUGAUUGAUUGCAACCAAGUCUGGUUGACACUUAGCAGUACAGUGAAUUAUUCAUUCCUGGAAAGUAAGAUGCUAACUAGCUGAUUUGGUGCUUAAGGCAGCAAAAACAUUUUUGUUCUCUCAGAAGGGCACCGGACAUUUUACAGAGAAGAUUUGUUGGCUCCACAUUAAUAUGUUCUACGAUUUGCGAAAUAAUGUUCUGAUGCAUCGUCCUUAGCCUUCCAUCCAUGUGCCCCUAGGACACACACAAGUGAAACUUUCACAUCGACCACUGAGAAGGAAUUACCAGCCCACCAUUUGUGUCCCGACUGCGUAGACAUUAUGCGAGACAGCCACCGCAGAUGCAACACAAAUACUGUCUUAAUGAAGUAUGCUCCAGGCACACCCUGGGACAUGGAACAACAAUUUAUUAAGAUUGUGGCUAUCAAUAAACUUCCUGACAAAAGGCUAAAAGACCAUAGAAAAAAAGAACUUGCAACAGGACCAAUGUGCCAUCUAGAACAGAUGCACAUGGUCGAGUCAGAUACUUCUCUCAAUCACUCUUCUCCUGCUUCCAUCUCCCAGUCUGGAAUAAAACCACAGCACCUUGAGGAGAUAAUUGUGCAGAUGCUGCGUGUCAUUUUCUAAACUUAUAUCAUCGGCAAACGGUAUGUUGGCGCACAUGUUAGAAUUACAGCUCCAAAACUUUCCAAGUCGUCUCCCCAUUAGGGAAGAAUCAGUCAAGUGACAAAACAAUGAACGAGGACAAGAUUGCUUUAAUCUCUGAAAAACAGAAACUUUUCCCUUAGACGAGCAGUUGUUAGGAAGAACAAUGAAAGCUGCCAGUGACAGCACCUUGAAAAGGGCUGAGCUUAUUCUGGCAUCUCUCCUCAUGAUCGCUUGAAAACUGCACAGUCUCAACUCAGAGACGUCUUUCUCCAGGAGCUACAAAAGCUUUCACUUCCACAGGCCCACAGAUAUUGCUAAACCAAAGGUAGAACUGGUGGCAAAGGGAAUAACCUCAGCUGUUGUGAAUGCGUCUGUCUAACGUCACUUAAUGAAAUUAAAGCCGAGAAGUUCCCGCAUCCCAAGGAAGCAAUGAUCGUCACCAACAGCAAGCACUGUCAAGGAUUUUCAGCUGACUUCCAAUCCUCGGAGGCUCCUCCCGUUUAUUGCACUGGCAGGCAAAUUGCUCCAAACCCAUAGAUGAGGCUGAUGCACAGUGAAGUGCCGUAUUUUUUCAUAGCUUUGAUGUCUAUCAACCUUAAAAGAUUAGGCUUUCCGAGCAGUACAAUAAAUUCUGGUGCAGCAUAUGGACAGCUGAGUUUAAUCGCUAUGCGCUUGCAAUGCAACAGAUUGUGCUUGCCCCUGCUGAGAAAAGGCUGUCGGUUGGAAGCUCUUCAAGGGAAGGACCAUUUCUUCCUUUGUGCGGCUCUCGCACACACUGAGCGCCACCCAAAUACGAGCAGCACACACUGCUGCUUUCUGAGCUAAGGAAUUUGUUUCCGUGCUGACGUCUUAAAAGAAAAAUCUUCAACGUUUCCGGACUGGGACGCAUUAUUCAAUACCGGCGAACGUAAAUAGAAACGAUCUAAGGGGAUUAGUGGAAUGCAUCAGCUUUAAAGGAAUGAUGGGUCAAUAGUUACCUUGGAAGAACAUCCCAAAUGACUACAUCUACCUGGAGGAGAUGGAUGAGAAAGUUUCUUAAAUACAGAUCAAAAAAUGUAAAUAAGCCAUUGGAGAGAUGGUGGAGGGGAGUGUCUGAAAAGCAUCCAACUGGCCAGAGAACACACUUGCUUCCAUCUGCUACCUCUCACAGGCGAAAAGUAGCUUAGAUGGUGAAUGCUAACACUCAGCAGAUAAUGGGGUACAGACAUGGGGGGAUGAAUCUCCAAAGCUGAAUUUGUGAGUCCUGAAGAAGCAGCCUGCUACUUGCCCGCUGCCAGUACAGCCUGGUUUUAAAGUUUGGUAAGUUCUGGACUAAAAUAAAAAUGGCAUAUCCUGUACCCUCCAAAAACAGUGAGAAAUGAGAUAGAAUCACUGCCUAGGAGGCCAAUCAGAAGCAGGUCAAUGAUUUAUAGCAUUUAGGUUAGGAGAACCAGGGACUUGGGGCUCCAGCAAGAAAGGUGGUGCCAAAAAGAGGGGUUCCCAAAACCAGAAGUGGUCUGAGAAAGAAGGGGACGCUCCUGGCUGGAGGAAAAAUCCUGGAAGUGAAGGAAGAUGCUGGAGAUCAGAGAGGUGCUUGGAGACAAAGACCAGGAGAUGCCUGGGGACCUUGGCCAGUAACACCAGUGACUGGUGACCACGAGCAGCACAAACCAACCCAACGCUCUGCCCAACCUUCCCACCUCAGCAGCGACCUCCCUGUGGGGAGGGGACAUCGAGCCUGAGAGAAGGCAGUGAUGAGGUAGGGGAAUCAGCAAAUAACUGGGAAAAAGCAAAUCCCAGUGUCCAGAUCUACCAUGCUAUUUACUCUGUCCCACCCAAGACUGUCUCCUCUCUUCAUUUUGUGACAAAAUGUUACUGGAGGCCUCUGGCUGGUCUUUCUCGCUGUGUCAGGAUCCAGCUAGAGAAUUCUUGCAAAAUCCAAGUUUCUGCUGCUAAAAGGGCUGACACUGCUUUUGGGGACCUGCAAAAGCUUAUUCUUGGAUUCAGGUCCUUCUGAAAUCAGAGCCUUACACAGGUCAAGCUGCAAUAGAAAUGCAUGCCCUUCCCAAGGCUGCAGGCUUCUGGAAUGACUGCCUUACUCUUCCGAAAACAUGGGGUAUUUGUGAGUAAACACAGCUCCACACACGCAUGGGCUCCACACACAGCCAAUAAAUACUCUGCUGCUUUUAGUGAAUUAUGAAAGCUGAGAAGUCACAAAUCAUUAGAAGUCUCUGCUCAACGCAUUUAUCUUGUAGCGUAUACUUAAUGGUAUAGCAUUUACAUCGAGAAUCAUCUGUUUUUAGUCUUUCAUCAAUAUCCCUUGGAAAUUCUACUCUAAGAUGAAAAAUAAAGAAACACAGUGGGAAGGCAAAAUUGGAAUUUAUCACCUGAACGGCACAUGCAAAUUCUCCAGCAAUCAUAGCUCUUGUUGCAGUUGCUUAUUAAACUAGAGUCAGCCGGGCUACGCAGGUGAGCAGCUUCAACUGG